UACGGAGGAUCCAAGCGUUAUCCGGAUUUAUUGGGUUUAAAGGGUGCGUAGGCGGUUUUAUAAGUUAGAGGUGAAAUCUCGGGGCUCAACUCCGAAAUUGCCUCUAAUACUGUAGGACUAGAGAGUAGUUGCGGUAGGCGGAAUGUAUGGUGUAGCGGUGAAAUGCUUAGAGAUCAUACAGAACACCGAUUGCGAAGGCAGCCUGCUGGACUGUAACUGACGCUGAUGCUCGAAAGUGUGGGUAUCAAACAGG
This 253-nucleotide ribosomal RNA is filed under the name uncultured Rikenellaceae bacterium. RNAcentral's name for it is "partial 16S ribosomal RNA". It matches the Rfam family "Bacterial small subunit ribosomal RNA", at positions 524 to 776 of the family's 1533-position model. The record is from RNAcentral. Lineage: Bacteria; Pseudomonadati; Bacteroidota; Bacteroidia; Bacteroidales; Rikenellaceae.